RNAcentral lists this ribosomal RNA (554 nucleotides) under uncultured bacterium. RNAcentral describes it as "partial 16S ribosomal RNA". It matches the Rfam family "Bacterial small subunit ribosomal RNA", at positions 355 to 900 of the family's 1533-position model. The record is from RNAcentral.
UAGAGAAUCUUCCACAAUGGACGCAAGUCUGAUGGAGCAACGCCGCGUGAGUGAAGAAGGUUUUCGGACCGUAAAGCUCUGUUGUUGGUGAAGAAGGAUAGAGGUAGUAACUGGCCUUUAUUUGACGGUAAUCAACCAGAAAGUCACGGCUAACUACGUGCCAGCAGCCGCGGUAAUACGUAGGUGGCAAGCGUUGUCCGGAUUUAUUGGGCGUAAAGCGAGCGCAGGCGGAAGAAUAAGUCUGAUGUGAAAGCCCUCGGCUUAACCGAGGAAUUGCAUCGGAAACUGUUUUCUUGAGUGCAGAAGAGGAGAGUAGAACUCCAUGUGUAGCGGUGGAAUGCGUAGAUAUAUGGAAGAAUACCAGUGGCGAAGGCGGCUCUCUGGUCUGCAACUGACGCUGAGGCUCGAAAGCAUGGGUAGCGAACAGGAUUAGAUACCCUGGUAGUCCAUGCCGUAAACGAUGAGUGCUAAGUGUUGGGAGGCUUCCGCCUCUCAGUGCUGCAGCUAACGCAUUAAGCACUCCGCCUGGGGGAGUACGACCGCAAGGUUGAAAC